Molecule: ribosomal RNA, 101 nt
Filed under: human gut metagenome
Source: RNAcentral
UUAUUAUAGCAAAGAGGAUACACCUGUUCCCAUUCCGAACACAGAAGUUAAGCUCUUUAGCGCUGAUGGUACUCGGAGGGUAACCUCCCGGGAGAGUAAGA